GCUAUGCCCGAUCUCGUCUGAUCUCGGAAGCUAAGCAGGGUCGGGCCUGGUUAGUACUUGGAUGGGAGACCGCCUGGGAAUACCAGGUGCUGUAAGCAU
This 99-nucleotide ribosomal RNA is filed under the name Cyprinus carpio x Culter alburnus. The record is from RNAcentral. Lineage: Eukaryota; Metazoa; Chordata; Actinopteri; Cypriniformes.